Molecule: non-coding RNA, 502 nt
Organism: Parasteatoda tepidariorum (common house spider)
Lineage: Eukaryota; Metazoa; Arthropoda; Arachnida; Araneae; Theridiidae
Source: RefSeq, a predicted model, not a curated record
UUUCAUAAUAUUCAAAUACUUUUCGUUUCAGUGAGUUUUCAAAAGAAAGAGAAAAAGCAAAAGAGAGGGGUGACUUUCACAAACUUAGAGAAAAACAGCAAAUUGAAGAAGAUCUCAGAGGCUAUUAGAAUUGGAUAACACAAGCUGUACAUUAAUGGUGGAAGCUUGGAACAGCUUUUUCGGAAAAAUAAGCAUAUUGAAUUGUCAUGGGAGACAAGAAUUAAACUGCCAUUAGAUAUAGCUCAUGGCAUAUGUUACUUGCAUUCCCGUGGUGUUUUUCGCCGAGUUCUUACUUCAAAGAAUACAAAAUGUUCCGUGUGUGAUGGUUGCAUCUUUCGAAGAUUUUCUUUAUAUCUAUGAACUGAACCUUGAAAUGGGAAGAGAUCGUAUUUAAAUAAAACAGCACAGGUUAGAAGGACCACUUAGACCUACUACAAAGAAUUCAAGUCGUGCUUUGUCCAAAUUUGAACCUCAUUCAACGAGUCAUCCUGUUGAGUCUGUG